AGAAUCAACGCUGGCGGCGUACCUAACACAUGCAAGUCGAACGCGAAAGUCCCGAAAGGGGCAAGUAGGGUGGCAAACGGGUGAGUAACACGUGGGUGACCUGCCUUCGAGCGGGGGAUAACGUCCCGAAAGGGACGCUAAUACCGCAUAACAUCCUGCCUUUGAAGAGGUGGAGAUCAAAGCUGGGGAUCGCAAGACCCGGCACUUGAAGAGGGGCCCGCGUCUGAUUAGCUAGUUGGUGGGUAACGGCCUACCAAGGCAACGAUCAGUA
RNAcentral lists this ribosomal RNA (271 nucleotides) under uncultured soil bacterium. Its description in RNAcentral is "partial 16S ribosomal RNA". It matches the Rfam family "Bacterial small subunit ribosomal RNA", at positions 26 to 285 of the family's 1533-position model. The record is from RNAcentral.